RNAcentral lists this ribosomal RNA (377 nucleotides) under uncultured Bacteroidota bacterium. RNAcentral's name for it is "bacterial SSU rRNA". It matches the Rfam family "Bacterial small subunit ribosomal RNA", at positions 524 to 902 of the family's 1533-position model. Lineage: Bacteria; Pseudomonadati; Bacteroidota. The record is from RNAcentral.
UACGGAGGGUGCAAGCGUUAUCCGGAUUCACUGGGUUUAAAGGGUGCGUAGGUGGGCAAGUAAGUCAGUGGUGAAAUCUCUGGGCUUAACCCGGAAACUGCCAUUGAUACUAUUUGUCUUGAAUUCUCUGGAGGUAAGCGGAAUAUGUCAUGUAGCGGUGAAAUGCUUAGAUAUGACAUAGAACACCCAUUGCGAAGGCAGCUUACUACGGAGACAUUGACACUGAGGCACGAAAGCGUGGGGAUCAAACAGUAUUAGAUACCCUGGUAGUCCACGCCCUAAACGAUGAUUACUCGACAUUAGCGAUAUUACUGUUAGUGUCUAAGCGAAAGCAUUAAGUAAUCCACCUGGGAAGUACGACCGCAAGGUUGAAACUC